UCGGGAUGCGGACAGUGGCAGACGGGUGAGUAACGCGUGGGAAUUUGCCCAGAGGUUCGGGACAACCAUUGGAAACGAUGGCUAAUACCGGAUAUGCCCGUAAGGGGAAAGAUUUAUCGCCUUUGGAUAAGCCCGCGUAAGAUUAGCUAGUUGGUGAGGUAAUGGCUCACCAAGGCGACGAUCUUUAGCUGGUCUGAGAGGAUGAUCAGCCACAUUGGGACUGAGACACGGCCCAGACUCC
Molecule: ribosomal RNA, 241 nt
Filed under: uncultured bacterium
Lineage: Bacteria
Description: partial 16S ribosomal RNA
Rfam family: Bacterial small subunit ribosomal RNA
Source: RNAcentral